RNAcentral lists this ribosomal RNA (253 nucleotides) under uncultured bacterium. Its description in RNAcentral is "partial 16S ribosomal RNA". It matches the Rfam family "Bacterial small subunit ribosomal RNA", at positions 524 to 776 of the family's 1533-position model. The record is from RNAcentral.
UACGAGAGGUGCGAGCGUUAUUCGGAAUUAUUGGGCGUAAAGGGUGCGCAGACGGUUUGUUAAGUCAAUUGUUUAAUUCCUCGGCCUAACUGAGGAUCAGCAGUAGAAACUGAUAAGCUAGAGUAUGAGAGAGGGAAGUGGAAUUCUCGGAGUAGCGGUAAAAUGCGUAGAUCUCGAGAGGAACACCGAUGGCGAAGGCAGCUUCCUGGCUCAUUACUGACGUUCAUGCACGAAAGCGUGGGGAGCAAACAGG